Ipomoea nil (Japanese morning glory) is the source of this 1455-nucleotide long non-coding RNA. RefSeq lists it as uncharacterized. The record is from RefSeq and is a predicted model, not a curated record. The transcript is spliced from 6 exons. Lineage: Eukaryota; Viridiplantae; Streptophyta; Magnoliopsida; Solanales; Convolvulaceae.
UUAAAAUUAAAAUAAAAAUAUAAUAAUAAACGAAUAAAAUAACCCCCCUCGCGAACGCGAUCUGAAAAUCCCCCAAAUCCCCCCAACACUUAGCAAAACGACUCCAAACCCUCCGAUCCGAUCCGUCACCCCCACGGCCUUCCGUCUCCUCCGUCCGUCCGCCGACCGUCCGGCUCCACCGUCCGCCCACGCCCUCCGUCAGCCACAGCAACGACCCUCGCUGCCAACCGCCUCGUCUCCUCGCCGCCAACAGCCACAGCAACGACCGCCAACAACAACAGGAACGCUGUCCGUUAGCCACACCACCGUCCGCCGGAGCUGCAUGUAAGUCUCCUUUCGAAUUUUUAUAUAUGUAUUUCAAUUUUUUGGUUAUUUAUUUCUUCUCCUAGACUCUAAAAUCAAACAAGGGUUUCCAUUUCUCUGGCCUACCUCCAGAUCCGGUUAGAGCUCAGAUCCGGUUCUGUGGUGAACAGAGACGACGGGGGAUGGCUGGGUUCCGGCGGUGUUGCUUCUCCUUUGUGCGGCUUCAGAUUCAUAUGCAGAAUUCAGCAACUCUGUCGUGCAAAUUGCUAUGCAAGAUUUUCAUAGUCUCCGUAUGUCGGUGUGUGGAUGUCGUACUCCAAAAGAUCAAGGUAUUCACGCUCUCCUUCGUACAAGCAUUACAACAGAUCUGUCUCAAGGUCACUCUCUAAGUCCCCAUAUUUGUCUCAAGGUCACAAAAUUUUCUGCAAAUUUGUUUGCAAGUGAAGUACUUGUGCAUUAAAUUUGUCUUCUUCACCGCUUCAGUCCAUUGGUCUUCAACAAGCAGGAGUUCUAGAUUCUGAGGAGUUGUCCAGCAUGAUCAAAGGGACUGAAAAGUGUGAAGUCCUAGAUCCUGAGGAGUUGUCCAGCAUGAUCAAAGGAACUGAGAAGUGUUAAGUACUAGAUCUUGAGGAGUUAUCCAACAUGAUCAAAGAAACUGAACAGGGUGAAAAGCAUCUCCUGUCUGGGAAUAAUGAGGAUGUAGAACAAUCUAUUGAUUCAACUCAACAUUUGAAGAUGAUGAUCUGAUACUUGAACAACUUGGGCUGAGGUUUUUGAGGACAUUAGAGCUUCGAUUGUAAGAUCCAGCUAAGUUUUAAAUGUAAUGAGGCAGUGGAUGAGGCUACUUCUGGCAAUUCAUAUUUAUUCCUUGCGCUUUGAAGAAGGCAGACUGUACUUCUAAAAAUGUGGUAAGUCCAAAGAAACAAAUUGGUGGAGUGCAAAGCUCUGGUAAAAUGGUAACCAAGGAAAACUCACAAGUCAUGCAGGCAUGUAAUUUUUAUUAGUGUUCAUAGUUUAUUAGUGUUGGUUUGAAUUUGUUGUUGAAUAGAUAGGUUUAAUUAGUUAUUAGUGUUGUAAAUUUGUGUGAAUUUGGAAAAUUCUGUACAGGUUUUAUUUUGAGCAAAUAAAAUUAGUGAAAUAUUGUAUUUUUAA